UGGGGAAUAUUGCACAAUGGGCGCAAGCCUGAUGCAGCCAUGCCGCGUGUAUGAAGAAGGCCUUCGGGUUGUAAAGUACUUUCAGCGGGGAGGAAGGCGAUAAGGUUAAUAACCUUGUCGAUUGACGUUACCCGCAGAAGAAGCACCGGCUAACUCCGUGCCAGCAGCCGCGGUAAUACGGAGGGUGCAAGCGUUAAUCGGAAUUACUGGGCGUAAAGCGCACGCAGGCGGUCUGUCAAGUCGGAUGUGAAAUCCCCGGGCUCAACCUGGGAACUGCAUUCGAAACUGGCAGGCUAGAGUCUUGUAGAGGGGGGUAGAAUUCCAGGUGUAGCGGUGAAAUGCGUAGAGAUCUGGAUGAAUACCGGUGGCGAAGGCGGCCCCCUGGACAAAGACUGACGCUCAGGUGCGAAAGCGUGGGGAGCAAACA
RNAcentral lists this ribosomal RNA (427 nucleotides) under uncultured bacterium. RNAcentral's name for it is "partial 16S ribosomal RNA". It matches the Rfam family "Bacterial small subunit ribosomal RNA", at positions 355 to 774 of the family's 1533-position model. The record is from RNAcentral.